RNAcentral lists this ribosomal RNA (433 nucleotides) under uncultured bacterium. RNAcentral's name for it is "partial 16S ribosomal RNA". It matches the Rfam family "Bacterial small subunit ribosomal RNA", at positions 29 to 507 of the family's 1533-position model. The record is from RNAcentral.
AACGAACGCUGGCGGCAUGCCUAACACAUGCAAGUCGAACGAGACCUUCGGGUCUAGUGGCGCACGGGUGCGUAACGCGUGGGGACCUGCCCUUAGGUUCGGAAUACCUCCCCGAAAGGGGUGCUAAUACCGGAUAAUGUCUUCGGACCAACGAUUUAUCGCCUUUGGAUGGGCCCGCGUUGGAUUAGCUAGUUGGUAGGGUAAAAGCCUACCAAGGCGACGAUCCAUAGCUGGUCUGAGAGGAUGAUCAGCCACACUGGGACUGAGACACGGCCCAGACUCCGACGGGAGGCAGCAGUGGGGAAUAUUGGACAAGGGGCGAAAGCCUGAUCCAGCAAUGCCGCGUGAGUGAUGAAGGCCUUAGGGUUGUAAAGCUCUUUUACCCGGGAUGAUAAUGACAGUACCGGGAGAAUAAGCUCCGGCUAACUCCGUG